UACGUAGGUGGCAAGCGUUGUCCGGAUUUACUGGGCGUAAAGGGUUCGUAGGUGGCUCGCUAAGUCAGACGUGAAAUCCCUCAGCUUAACUGGGGAACUGCGUCUGAGACUGGCGAGCUCGAGUGCAGGAGAGGAACGCGGAAUUCCAGGUGUAGCGGUGAAAUGCGUAGAUAUCUGGAGGAACACCGGUGGCGAAGGCGGCGUUCUGGACUGCAACUGACACUGAGGAACGAAAGCCAGGGUAGCAAACGGG
This 253-nucleotide ribosomal RNA is filed under the name uncultured bacterium. RNAcentral describes it as "partial 16S ribosomal RNA". It matches the Rfam family "Bacterial small subunit ribosomal RNA", at positions 524 to 776 of the family's 1533-position model. The record is from RNAcentral.